This 303-nucleotide ribosomal RNA is filed under the name uncultured bacterium. Its description in RNAcentral is "partial 16S ribosomal RNA". It matches the Rfam family "Bacterial small subunit ribosomal RNA", at positions 507 to 807 of the family's 1533-position model. The record is from RNAcentral.
AGCAGUAGCCGCGGGAAUACGUAGGGUGCGAGCGUUAAUCGGAAUUACUGGGCGUAAAGCGUGCGCAGGCGGUUCGUUAAGACAGAUGUGAAAUCCCCGGGCUUAACCUGGGAACUGCAUUUGUGACUGGCGAGCUAGAGUAUGGCAGAGGGGGGUAGAAUUCCACGUGUAGCAGUGAAAUGCGUAGAGAUGUGGAGGAAUACCGAUGGCGAAGGCAGCCCCCUGGGCCAAUACUGACGCUCAUGCACGAAAGCGUGGGGAGCAAACAGGAUUAGAUACCCGCGUAGUCCCUGUCUCUUAUAC